RNAcentral lists this ribosomal RNA (359 nucleotides) under Mesorhizobium sp. Its description in RNAcentral is "bacterial SSU rRNA". It matches the Rfam family "Bacterial small subunit ribosomal RNA", at positions 1 to 363 of the family's 1533-position model. Lineage: Bacteria; Pseudomonadati; Pseudomonadota; Alphaproteobacteria; Hyphomicrobiales; Phyllobacteriaceae. The record is from RNAcentral.
AAUUGAAGAGUUUGAUCAUGGCUCAGAUUGAACGCUGGCGGCAGGCCUAACACAUGCAAGUCGAGCGGUAGAGAGGUGCUUGCACCUCUUGAGAGCGGCGGACGGGUGAGUAAUGCCUAGGAAUCUGCCUGGUAGUGGGGGAUAACGCUCGGAAACGGACGCUAAUACCGCAUACGUCCUACGGGAGAAAGCAGGGGACCUUCGGGCCUUGCGCUAUCAGAUGAGCCUAGGUCGGAUUAGCUAGUUGGUGAGGUAAUGGCUCACCAAGGCGACGAUCCGUAACUGGUCUGAGAGGAUGAUCAGUCACACUGGAACUGAGACACGGUCCAGACUCCUACGGGAGGCAGCAGUGGGGAAUA